AUCUUAAAAGCCUAAAUUGUGUUUCCUUGUUAGAAGAUACAAAGCCAAAGCGUCAUACGAACUUUUGCUACACCAUCAAAGCUUUGAGAAGCAAGAAGAAGCUUGGUUAGUUUUUUGAAGUCAAAUAUUACUAGAUGUCAUCUGUAUGAGUGAGUAUGACAACUAUA
This 167-nucleotide small RNA is filed under the name Arabidopsis thaliana (thale cress). RNAcentral describes it as "ATSL270810". The record is from RNAcentral. Lineage: Eukaryota; Viridiplantae; Streptophyta; Magnoliopsida; Brassicales; Brassicaceae.